RNAcentral lists this ribosomal RNA (460 nucleotides) under uncultured bacterium. Its description in RNAcentral is "partial 16S ribosomal RNA". It matches the Rfam family "Bacterial small subunit ribosomal RNA", at positions 338 to 795 of the family's 1533-position model. The record is from RNAcentral.
CCUACGGGAGGCUACAGUGAGGAAUAUUGGUCAAUGGACGAGAGUCUGAACCAGCCAAGUAGCGUGAAGGAUGACUGCCCUAUGGGUUGUAAACUUCUUUUAUAUGGGAAUAAAACAGGGUAUGCAUACCCUCUUGUAUGUACCAUAUGAAUAAGGAUCGGCUAACUCCGUGCCAGCAGCCGCGGUAAUACGGAGGGUGCAAGCGUUGUCCGGAAUCAUUGGGCGUAAAGAGUUCGUAGGCGGCAUGUAAAGUCAGGUGUUAAAGGCGCAGGCUCAACCUGUGUAUGGCACUUGAUACUUGCAAGCUGGAAUGCGGUAGAGGUAAAGGGAAUUCCUGGUGUAGCGGUGAAAUGCUUAGAUAUCAGGAGGAACAUCGGUGGCGUAAGCGCUUUACUGGGCCGUAAUUGACGCUGAGGAACGAAAGCCAGGGUAGCAAAUGGGAUUAGAUACCCCAGUAGUC